Molecule: long non-coding RNA, 235 nt
Filed under: Homo sapiens (human)
Lineage: Eukaryota; Metazoa; Chordata; Mammalia; Primates; Hominidae
Description: HSALNT0095737
Source: RNAcentral
CUUUACCUCCAUCACCAUCCCACAGCAAAUCCCUGCCCCCUACCCAAGAGCUCUCCGCUGAAACACUGUGGGAUGGCACUCCCGGACUGAAGGCUGAACAGCAUACGGCAACAGAUUUCUCUUAGAGGAAGAGCAAGGAAGAAUGCUCCAUCCUGUUCUUUGUAAUAUUCAAGCAUAUAGCAAAUCAAGACGUAUGUUAGACAUAAGAAAACAGAUCUAGGAUGAGAAUGCGGCC